Molecule: long non-coding RNA, 10470 nt
Organism: Anolis carolinensis (green anole)
Lineage: Eukaryota; Metazoa; Chordata; Lepidosauria; Squamata; Anolidae
Exons: 4
Source: RefSeq, a predicted model, not a curated record
CAUGUUGGCUGGAACAGCUGCUCCUACCGAGAGACGGAGCGCCGCGAGGGACAAAAUACCUCUGUCCUCCUCAGAAGCGCGAAGCAGUAGCCGCUGCAGGUUGAAGGCAGCCAAAGACAAAGGAAGCACAAAAGGGUUUCCAACAGGUCGGGAACAACAAUAUUUGUGCCUGUCCCAGCCAUUUGCAACAUGAACAUCAAGGGAUGAAGCUUUUUUGAUGACUUAUUAAUAGCUGUGGAGUGCUGAAGAUCAAACUGUUAUUCAGCUGUGUUCAGCCUGAGAUUCAACCAUCCCACCCUGCAUAGAGAAGAGGGGCUAAUCCCCAGGAUCUGGAAACCCUAGUUGAAGUCCAACAUAUUUGGAAAGUUGAUUUAACCCAUAUCCUGAAGACAUUAUGUUUAGCAUGCCCAUGGCUCUUACAGGGAUUCUCCGGCAGAAAAAUAAUUUCAUUGUCAUGAAAUCAGUACAAAAAACUGUCACGCUCCCCCGCCUGCCCGCCGGCCGCUUUCUCUCAAGUGCUGUCAACAGGUCUUGAACACAGCUGUUGAGCAAAAGAUCUUUCUCAGAUCCGCUACCUGAGAGGCUGAGGGUCUGGGUGAGCAGUUGCACUUCCUAUUUUUGCUAAAGAUGAAGGCCGGUGUGUCAAAUGUUUAGACCAGGAGGACUGUCUGAGAGCCUUGCUCAAUCCAAACAUAGAUUUUCUUUCCAAGGUAAAGAAAUUUAGAACUACAACUUUGCAGUAAAAGCUCCCUGUGGGUAGGCUGUUGUAUCCCCAUACAUUUCGUUGUUACAAUUUAUGUAUUUGUCUGUAUCUCUUAUAAGAUGCUCAUUUAACUUACGGUUUGAUGACAAAAUUGAAAUCCUGAAUCGCAAAAUGAUGCAUGUCUAAAUCUGUGUCACCAACAUGAAAUGAUCUAGUGGUUAAACAUUCUGUUCACAUACUGGGUCAGUCAUGGCCUAGGGUAAACCCCUUAAAGGACAUCAAAACUGAUCAUGCCCAACUCUCUCAGUUUGAAAACUAGUAGCUUAGUUGAAGCACAGGAAAAGAAUAAUCCUGAUGGCUGGACCAUUGUUGGUUAGUAUGCAUGACUAUUUUCCUGUAAACAUAAUAGUUUAAUUAGAUUGCCUUCCCACUAAGUGUUGGAUUAGACGCCUGUCUGUAUCCCUGAACAUAAUGGGGACACAAAUGGAGGUCAUGCAUGAGCCUUGGAACUGAACAAGGGUUUAACAACAAACUCACCAUGCCAGAAGAAAUGAGGACAACUGGAUUUUCUUAUUCUGUUCCAAGGCUCACACAGAAACCUCAGUUCCAUAUUAAUAAAAUAUUAGAAAUAAGUUGGUCCCUUAGUCACAGCAUGACCUCCAAUUGUGUUCCCAGUAAGUUAAUUCGAAAACAGGCAUACAUACUACCCAACAGUGGUCCAGCCAUCAACAUUAUUCCUCUUUCUAUGCUUUAUCUAGGCUACUAGUCAGGCUGGUUAUGCAUUACUUCCACUAUGCCUUGGCACAUCAGUUGAUAGGCAGCAUGGGCAUGCAGUUGCUUUUGGUGGAUUUCCUUUACUGAGUGGUUCAUGGGACUCAGUGGGUUAUGGAGCCCUUUCCAUGGUUGCACGAGUCUAUGCUUAAGUUAUGAGAUCAGCUAUCUCUACCCAUGUGCUCUUUGGUUUGUGUUGGCAGUCCAUCAUGAAAGAACGGUGGUAUUUUUGAUUAUCAUCUGAAGUGGUCUGUCUUGAAUAGCCUAGCUUAAUAAUCUGCUUACACUUCUUGUUAAUUGGUCAAUUUAGUGAGCUUGCUCUAAGUAGUGAAAAAUGUUUUUCGUCUACUAUUAGAUGGAAAUAACCACAGCAAAGAAGCAUUGUGACCACUUUGAGAUGAAAGGGGAUCCCAGGGUUUCUCUCCAUCUUCACUGUUAGCAGAAAAUGAGCAGUAUUGGCCUUAAGAAGAACCAGGGAACUUAUUGGGCAAUCUUAAGUUGUGCUGCUGAAAAUAACUAUAAUAUGGAAUCACUAUUCAGUCAUUAAAUUGUAUGCCACACCAUUGAAUCUCAUCAUUUGGUUUGCUGGUACAAUAAAACGGGAAUUACCAAACUGGGGUUGCCAUACAUGCCUCAAGGUCAUAGCUAGCUCAGCCCCCUGUGUGUGUGUGUGUGUGUGGGGGGGGGGGGGUUAAGGGAUUACCUCUACUACUUUUUUCACCUCACAGAUCUCAGGUGCACUGAUGCUAACUUUUUAAAAAAAUUGGGGGGGGGGGAGCAGUUUGAGGCCAGGUUCCUUAUUCAGUGUAAUCAUAUUCCUGGUCUCAAACUUUCUAGCCUUGUAAAUCUAAUCACUCCACAGUGAAAUUUUUGAACCAGUUCCAAGCUGGAUUAUAGUGUAGAUGCGCCUUGAGAUGUGCUGAUGUGCACAUCCAUGUUGUUCAGAAUCAGCGUUGGACCUUGGCAGGGCACAGGAAAUGAGAAGAAAGGGGUGGGAAGUGAGAGUUCCCAUGGGAAUGAUGUAGUAUUUCUGAGGGGUGGUGGUGGUAAUUAGCCAUCUACAUGUCCUUGCUCAAAAAGGUCUACUUUCUAGCCAGCUGUAUUUCAGUGUUGUUGUUUUUUAAGAGCUUCAGUGCUAGUGUGGUCUUGAUAAGCAUUUUACAUUUUCCAGUCCCUUGAGCCUUGCAUGGGAUAUACUAUGAUCAGAUAGAAUGCAUUGUCUGGCUUAUUCUGGACUUUCUGGAGAGUUUUGUUUUGUUUUUUUACAUUAUAUGGUCAGUUUAGAUACACCCCUGGACUCCCAAAUCUCACUUUGGAUUUGAGUCUGGGUUGAAUUAUGUUGUUUCUGGUUAUAUAUUCUAACUAUGGCCCAGAUUAGAAUUACUGAAUCACUCUGAAUUGAAGUAGGGGCUCACACACAGCUCUAAGAGAUCUUAUUUGCCAACUGCUCUUGAAAUCAACCCAAUUUACACUGUGCUCUUUGUCAGUAUAAUUUUCACUUGUUCAAACACUUGUCUUUCAGCCCAUUCAGACAAAUGAGGUUUAAUCCAAUACAGUGGAUUACUAACAGAAUUUCUUUAAUAUAUAAAUAGCACAUCACAAAGCCAUUAAUAAAAGAAAAUGUGUGUAUUAAUUUACUGUUGUGGAAGUUUAAAAUAUCAUGUGUAAUUAAUUACUAAUGAAUUGAAACACUUCUCUUCAUGGAUCAAUUUGAAUUUCCCUGUGAAUAUAUUGAAAUAAUAUUAUUGGUUAAAACUCUUGAAUUUUUUAAAAAGUUGGCAAAUUAUGUUAAUUACAUUCAGUUAUUACCAAUUACUAAAACCCAGUCUUUAAUAAUAAUAUGAAAAUUAAUUUUACAUUCUUCCAAGAUUAAAACUUCAAGACAAAUUACCAAGUCCUGUUGCAAAACAGGACAGAAUAGAAUGGGGGUAUCCCAUGCUAUUCAAAAAGCUUAGCAUACUAAUAGCUCAGCUGCAGGAUUCUGUCACAGGGAAGAAAGGCUUCUUACCCCAACAGGAAGCACUGGCAAAGCUACAGUGACAUUAAUUCCCUGUCAAAUGAAGCCUCUCUUAUUUCUGAGAGGUCCCAUACAUGAAAACACUUGCCUGGGCAUGCAGAAAUAUUUUUGUAAUAUUCAUCAUAACUUCAGGAACUCUUAAAUUUGGAAUCGCUUUUUGGUUUUUUCCAAUCCUGUAUAUCAGGGGUCCCCAAACUUUUUAAGCCGAGGGCCGAUCCACAAUCCUUCAGACUGUUGAGAGGCCGGAUUAUCAUUUGAAAAAAAUACAAACAAAUUCCGAUGCACACUGCAUAUGUCUUAUUUGUAGUGCAAAAACAACAACAACAAGAACAAUGAAAGAACAAUACAAUAUUUAAAAAUAAAAACAAUUUUAACCAACAUACAUUUAUCAGGAUUUCAAUGGGAAGUGUGGUCCUGCUUCUGGCCAAUGAGAUAGUCAAGUUAAUUAGGGUUGUUGUUGUUGUUGUUGUUGUUGUUGUUGUUGUUGUUGUUGUGUGCCUUCAAGUCAUUUCAGACUUUGGGUGAGCCCAAGUCUAAAAUGCAUUUAUUUAUUUACUGCAUUUAUUUACUACAUUUGUAUCACACCCUUCUCACCCCAAAGGGGACUCAGAGUGGCUUACAAAUUAUAUGUACAUACAAUAUAUUAUAUUAUUAGCAUAGCACAAUAUUAGCAUUAUAUAUUACUACUAGCUGUGUCCGGCCACACAUUGCUGUGGCGAAGUGGUGGUGGUAUUGGUUAAAAUUGUUUUGUAAUUUUUAUUUGAUGUUAUUUGCAUUUUUUAUUAAUUUUAUUGUAAGUUAUAUUUUUAUUUAUUAUAUUUUAUUAUUUUCUUGUAUUAUUUUUAGUUAUUUUCCAUUAUUAUAGUAUUUUAUUGUAUCAAUUUUUUUUAGUGUUUUUUAUUAUUUUUUAUUGGGUUGCUAGGAGACCAAGUUGGAGGAGCUUAGCCUCCUAACUGGCAGCAAUUGGAUAAAAGCAAUUAUUCCUCUCUCUAAUUAGGACUUUAUUUUUCUUUUCGUUUUGUUGUAUCAACCUAGAGGCGUGGAUGAUGGGUUGUGUUGUCAAAUUUCGAGGUUGGGGGGCCUGUAGUUUUGUUGUUUUGUGGGUCGCCGUGAUGCCAUCACUCUUUUAUAUAUAUAGAAGAUAUUGAACUAUACCACUAUACUGUAAUAUUAUUAGUAAUAUUAUAUGUAAUAUAGAAUAUAUAAUAUUAUUAUAUGGUAUUAUUAUUAGUGUUAUAUUGUAUUACAUUAUAAUAUUAUUAUCAAUAUUAUAUGUAUAUACAAUAUAUUAUAUUAUAAAACUGAGGGCGGGGGCCAGGUAAAUGACCUCGGAGGGCCGCAUCCGGCCCCCGGGCCUUAGUUUGGGGAGCCCUGCUGUAUAUGAUUAAAAUAAUACAAAUCAUCACAGUCAUUGCAUUUAUAAUACAGUAAUGUUUUGAUCACAAAAUGUUAACAUCCAGCAAAAAUCAAAGUACACAUCUUUCUCAAUCUGCACAUUUAUAAUCAGUUUUAUGUAUGACACACAUCUAUGCACCCAAUGCAAAAUGUGGCAAGAUCCAUUUGCUCUUGCGGUUGUGGUUGUUGUUGAAAAGAGUUUAAAUUUAGGGUGAAGAAGAUUCAGUAUUUGCUUUUCCUUUUUCUCUUACAGAGCUGUUAUUCUAAAUCUAGUGGGUGGAGGUGUCUUUAGGACAGGGAUUCUGGAUCCUUUGCUAAUUUUGUUUGUGAACAUAUUAUUUGCAGGCUUUCUCCAUUGUGCACUUUAUGCUGCCAAUUAUCUCCCCCUUGAGUUAACGGUUCAAAAGAAAGGAAAUAACCAUUUAAGGGAGAUAAUCUCUUCUGUAACAAAAGGAGGAGAAUCAGGUUUAAAUGAGGCAGAGUUCAUCAAAGAGGGUUGUAAUCCCUAUUGUGUCUAAGAAUUCCUCCCAUCAAUUCACAAAAUGUACUUUUAUAAACCCUCUUUCAAACAAUCAUAUUUCAUCCUUAUUUUUAAUGCAUUCAUCAUGUCUGUGUAACAGAUUUUAGUUAAGCAUUCAAAUUAUAUCUGAUAUUUGACUUAUUAAUACUUUUAUCCUAAAAUAUCAUUUUUUCCUUACCUUAUUUCCUGAGACAAAUGAUUUUACUGUACUACAUAUAGUAUUGAGCAUGGUGUAAAGGCUGAUUUUCUUUUACUAUACACACACACACACACAACUUCAUAAGACAAUAAUACGUCACUAAACAAGAAGAAACUGCAGACCAACAAAAAAAAAACCUCUGCAAGAUUUUAGUAUUUUUGUUCUGUAUUAUUUUCCUUAUGUCUUUGGAUAAAAACUAUCAGUGUGAUAUUUGUGGUUAAACUUCCAUCAGACUAAAUAGGUUAAUUAUAAAACAUCAAUUAUCGUGGAUGAAUUUUCUCUUAAUAUAUUGUAGUAGUUUUACUAUAGCUCAUUAAUCUAAAACUAAGUUUUCUUACUCUUUGUUAAUAUUUAAGUUAAGAAAGAAGCAGAAUUAUUUAAUAUAGAACUAUCCAGCUGUAAUAUAUAAGGAUACAACUUCCAAGUGCUCAAAUCUGCUCUAAAACAGUGCCUCUUAAUCUUUCUGAUGUGGAGGACCAGCACAAUUUGAUUCCCCAGUAUGUCAAGGACCAUAUUUAUGCCCAUCGGCUAGAACUGUUUCUUUUCUGGAAUCUCACUGUGGACCUGCAACCACACCUUGGAGACUGGCAUUGGCCACAGAUCCCCACUUCAAGUAUUACUUCGAGGAUUCUUCUGAUUUCUGGGGCAAAUUGAGCCAUGGAAGUAAAGCUUUAGUGAAUUCCCUCUCAAUUGUUGUGUGAGGGUCCUUCCAGACAACGUCAAAAUGCGGGACAAAGAAGUGGGGCAAAACAUCACAGUACCUUAAGGGGAGUCCAGACACGGAGCUGUCAGUCCCAGUAAAUGCUUCCCUGAUGUCCUGACAGGUUUUGUUGUGGCAGAUUUUAGAAAUGCGUGUGAUGGAAGUUCUUAAUGAAAAAGAUUCCAUGUACAUGCAAAGUAAGCAUAGGAGUUUAUUGAGUCAGAAGUCUUGUCUACUUUUAACUUAUUUGGUUUUAAGAGAUAAUUUAAGUGACUCACAUGAUUAAUUUCCAUGUUAUCCAGCUAAGGACCUCAUCACACUUACCAAAAUAAGCAUCCUAGGAUGCUUCAAGCCUUCUCUGAGGACGGAGCCCCAUGCCAGCCAUCACACAAUGUCAUGUGACUUCUAGUGAAGACCCCACCCAAUUGUGGUGGAGCCUCCUUGGAUGCUUUCCCCAAAACACAAGAGCCUUCCCGUGUUGUGCUGGCUCCAAUGGAGCUUAGCCUGCUUCUGCCCUACUUGAGCGACGCUCCCCCUGUGUGUUGGGGGAAGUGCUGCUGUGCCAGAGUAGGAUGCAAGGUGACAGAGUCACUCCUCACCUCUCCCAUUUCACCACACUUGCUGGCAAAACAGCACAGUGGGGAGGUGAUAAGGUCAUAGGGAUGUGAAGUCAGAGUUGGGAGUCAUGGAGUUGGAGUCUGAAACAAUUGUGGGUGGAGAUGAAAUCAGAGUAUAAAUGUACCAACUCCAGCUUCAAAAGCAGAAAUGUAAUAACUCCAGCUUCAGAAUAAAAACAUAUAACACUAUAACAAAUAUAGUUAAUAGAUUGUUUUAUGCUAAAUAACAUAAAUAUACUUUACCUAUUAUAAAUCUAGUUUGAUGAUCCAUGCGGUGGUAACGAUGAAAUUCCCCAUACUACAGCAAAUUUGUUAUGAGGAAUUAACAAGCAUUUGCUAUUUAUUAAGAUGUUUGAGUCAGAGUUAAUAGAAAAAUAGAGGAGUUAGAAUCUGAAUCAAAGGUUUGGUGUACUAACUCUACAGUUCUGCGACUACUAAAAUAUUUGACAAUGUCACAUACUGUCCUCACUUUUACAGGUUAACUUCCAUAUACCUUGGGUGUUGCUUUUAAUAAAAGCAAUUAUACUGUACUUCCAAAUCCUGUAUAGAGUAGUCAGUUAGUAACAGUUAAAUUUCAAAAAGCAGCUGAACUUUCCUCUUUUGUAAAGAAACUAAAUUACUUAGCUUUUUCAAAAAAGCUUCUGCAUGCUACCACCAUUGGGUUGUGAUAUGAAACAGCCUUUUACUACAUGGACUUCAUUGUUCUUUCAACACUGACAAUGGAUUAGAAGCAGUAGAACUUAUUUGUUCAUUUAUUUAUUACUUAUUAAAAUAAUUUAUCUCACCCUCUUUUUAAAAAUCUUAGAGAAGUCUGCAAUAAAAUCCACAUGAUAGUUGUUUGCAAUGUAAACAAUAAACCUAUUUUUAAAGAUACAUUAAGUGAUUUAACAAGCUAAAAUAAGGCAGAUUAAAACUGGUUCAAAAUAGUUUUAAACAGUACUGUUCCCUUAUUGAGGCGGCGGCCACUAGGGGCUCUAUACAGAGAAGGAUAGUCCAUUUUACGGGAGAGGGGGAUGUUUUCCUGUUAUUCCCCACAACCAUCAUGGAAACAACACUUGUUUAUGAAAUGGGAAAGGGGGAGGGGGAAUAACCAGCCAAAAUGGGGGAAAUGGUUUUCCUCCUUCUACUCCCCCCCCCCCCGAAAAGUGGAUUAUCCUUCUCUAACUAGGCCCCUUUUGGAGUCUGCCUGGAUAAUGAAACAGUACCUUUAAAACAAGUGAAAAUCAUACACAUAUUUGGAGUUGUAUAAAAUCAGUGAGGCCUCAAUGGCUUCACAGUAAACAACUGUGGCUUUAUUUGGUGCCAAAAUGGAAACCAUGUUGGGACCAAUCAGGCCUCUAAGGGAGAGAGGUAAAUUUACUAUACUUGGGGUGCCAGUUUAUUAACUAAAGUCAGCUCUCCUCAAAUGCGGGUUUACCAUUAUGGAUCUGAUUAUUUGUAGAUUUGAUUAAAAUCUUUAAAAAUCUCUAGGUCUGCUGGAAGUCAACUAUAUGUCUUCCUAGAGAACUCAGAAUCCUAGAAAAAACACCCCUCUAGGAAUCUCCAGAUCCAACAGUGUAGUUCUGUGGUCAAUUUCAAGUGGUAGUUGACCCUAGAAUCAUGCUGGAGGACCUUGAAAUUCCUGGAGAGGUAUUCUCUCAGUAAAAAGAUGUGUUUUUUUUAAAAUUCCAUGCUGAAUAUAUCAUGCUGAAAAAAGAAUGAAACAGCUGCAAAAUACAAGGGACAGUUCCCAAACUGCACUUUAAAAAUAUCUUGUUCUUACUUGGAAGUAAAAUGGAUGUAUUAGUGGUUCAACCCUUCCAACCCUUCCAACUUCCAAUGAUCCAUUCAGAACUCAAUCAACAAACUUUUUGUUUCUUUUUCAUAGACAGACAAUUUACAAGAAGGGAAUGCAAUGCCUCUAAAAAAAACAAAAAUUCAAGCUUCUUAAAGACUUGCUCCUAAACAACAGUGUUAAAAUCAAAAUUUUCUUCUCUGUAAAACUUCAUGCUCUGCCCAGUGUGUUUUAUGUCUGCAUUAAUCUACUCUUUUUAAGAUCUCUAAACAGAGACAGAAGAAGAGAGAAACUGAUUUGGAUCCUAACCACAUUGUGAUUUGUCUGUCAGUUCACUGGAUUCAGAAUCUUCCAUCACAAUUAGCACUUCAGUAUCCAAAUUUCCUUCUCCUUGAAUGCCCACAAGGUUUUGCAGGGAUGCCUUUUCAAUGUGAAGACCUGGAACAAGAGGAUGAAUUCAAUAGCAACCCAAAUUGGUGAAUGAAUGGUAUUCCCAGGCUAUUGUGCUGGUUAGUCGCAUGUGGGGAGGUAAUAACAGGGUAUUAUAGUCUUUCUUAAUGUCUCAUCUACAUAUCAGUCUCAUGGGACCUGAAAUCUUUUCAACCAAAGCUUUCCAAAUAAGUGCUAAGAGGUAUAGAUUUCCCAGGACUGCCAGUCUGAACAUUGGUCUUCUGAAACAUGAAAAAUCACAUUUACAUCCACUCUCUUUCUUUCUCUUCCCAGGCCCUGACAUUCCUGUGAUAUCUUGGGACAGCAACAAAUACUACCAAUAACUUUAAAUAUUAUUACACAAUUAAAAACAUGAAAUGUACUUCUUCCUUUUAGCAUAAAUCUUUUCAUAAAAUAACAUGGAUUUUAGAUAUAGACAAACUCUCAGAUGUGUUUCAGGCUAUCUCAGCAAUUAUUUUCUAUGGGAAAAUUGGGAAGUAUUUGGGUAGUACUGUGGUUUUAGCUAUGAAUAGGUUUUUAAUUGGUUUUAAGGGUUUUAACUGGUUUUUAAAAUAUUGUUUAUAUUUAAUUACAUUUUAAUGUUUGUAUUUUUUAGAUUUUAAUUGUAUUGUACUUGGUUUUGUUGUGAGACGCUUUGAGUCUCUUUUUUAGAGAGAAAAAGCGGGAUAAUAAUAACAGCAACUACUACUACUACUACUAUUCGGACCCAGUCUGAAUGCUUGGAAAAAUGACAUCUUUCUCUCCUCCAUUGUCUUCUGUGUUCCCAGGAGAGUCUGCUUCUAUUUGUCCAAUAGAGGUUGCCAUUCCUCUCCCGCAAACACAGUGAAUAUACCACAUCAAAGUGGAGUGUGGAUUCCAUGGGGCAUUGUGUUCAAAACAACAAAGGAAUGCCCUAUAAGAGCCCCAGAGAGAAGCAGUAAAGCUUUUUUGUCUCUGUAAACAUAUGGCAUACAAUCCUAUUGUUAGUCCUGACUAAAGUAGACCUAUGGAAUAAAUAAAAAUUACUUAUGUGCUGAUUCAGCAAUUGAUUCAAUGGACUUACUCUACUAAGAGUAACCAAUAGGAUUUUGGCCUUUGUUUCUGUAAACAUAAACUAUGGACAUUCUUUUUCCCAACCUUCCUGAAAUAGAUAACUCCAGUGUUUUUCCUAUGAUUGAAAGGUUAGGACUGUAUGUAUUCAUGCAUGUGUGUAUGAACGAUUGAGUGCUUUAACUGAAAUCUUGUUCAACUAGCCAUGAUACUUUGCUGUCAAUGAUGAAAUGGAGACGGUGUGUAUGUGUAUGUGUGGCACCAAGAGCCUAAAUAAAAUGUGAGUGAUGAGAAA